AGAGAUCGCGUCUUCAAACAAAUGUGCCUAUUUGGGACAUUCUUCAUUCAAACUGGUGACCACCAGGGGAGGUGGCUACUGUCCCUCCUAAAAACAUUUCUGGCUACGGAGAUGGAUAUUUACUUGAACCACAUGUUCCAGAGAAUAAGAGCAGAUCCAGGAGAGUCACUCCUCCUGAGUCCCACGUGGUCCUGGCUAGGGCUGAGGGUGCUGUGUGCUUGGUCCUCCGAGUGGAGUCUUGUCCAAGCUGGGCCUGACUUUUUGCACACACCACAUGCCUCAUCAUCCAGGCUGCCCCACUAGGCAGUGAGGAGUUCGGAGUUCCAGCCCAGAUUUCUUCAAUGAUGCUCACUCUGAUUCUGCUAGGAACUGGGAAAGUCUCCAGAUGAACGGGGCACCCCUUCCUGACGUACUGAGAAGGUUGUCACCUGAGUUUCACAGUUUUCAAAGCAUCUGUUUGGCAACUCAAGGGCUUAGCUUGAAUGUGAGGACAUCCAUCUCCCAGUUGGUGAUUGGCAUUGAUCGGCCUGUGCCUUGCUAGAGGUCAGGGAGAAGAUAUGUCACAUGGUGACAUCAGCUGUGGCUUCCUAACAGACAUCAGAGUAAAGAAGUCCCCUCACCUGGGCUUGUAGGGGGCUUUUAUUGUGAAAGAACGUUGGGCCAUCCCAGCUCCUUUUCUGCACAUAUUGAUAGGGUGGUGUGAUAUUUGCCUUUAUUAUGUGUGGGACAAUGGUUUUACCUGUAAAGAUUUGUUUCUUGUACUUGUACUUGUUUAAUAAAAUGCUGGUUUGCCAGUAGCCAGGCAGGAAGUAUAGGUGGA
Myodes glareolus (Bank vole) is the source of this 820-nucleotide non-coding RNA. Lineage: Eukaryota; Metazoa; Chordata; Mammalia; Rodentia; Cricetidae. The record is from RefSeq and is a predicted model, not a curated record.